UACGUAGGGGGCAAGCGUUGUCCGGAUUUAUUGGGCGUAAAGAGCGUGUAGGCGGCCAGACAGGUCCGUUGUGAAAACUGGAGGCUCAACCUCCAGACGUCGAUGGAAACCGUCUGGCUAGAGUCCGGAAGAGGAGAGUGGAAUUCCUGGUGUAGCGGUGAAAUGCGCAGAUAUCAGGAAGAACACCCGUGGCGAAAGCGGCUCUCUGGGACGGUACUGACGCUAAGGCGCGAAAGCGUGGGGAGCGAACAGG
RNAcentral lists this ribosomal RNA (253 nucleotides) under uncultured bacterium. RNAcentral describes it as "partial 16S ribosomal RNA". It matches the Rfam family "Bacterial small subunit ribosomal RNA", at positions 524 to 776 of the family's 1533-position model. The record is from RNAcentral.